This 840-nucleotide ribosomal RNA is filed under the name uncultured Aquabacterium sp. Its description in RNAcentral is "bacterial SSU rRNA". It matches the Rfam family "Bacterial small subunit ribosomal RNA", at positions 56 to 897 of the family's 1533-position model. Lineage: Bacteria; Pseudomonadati; Pseudomonadota; Betaproteobacteria; Burkholderiales; Sphaerotilaceae. The record is from RNAcentral.
UGCAGUCGAACGGUAACGCGGGGCAACCUGGCGACGAGUGGCGAACGGGUGAGUAAUGCAUCGGAACGUGCCCAGUUGUGGGGGAUAGCCCGGCGAAAGCCGGAUUAAUACCGCAUACGACCUACGGGUGAAAGCGGGGGACCGCAAGGCCUCGCGCUACUGGAGCGGCCGAUGUCAGAUUAGCUAGUUGGUGGGGUAAAGGCCUACCAAGGCGACGAUCUGUAGCUGGUCUGAGAGGACGACCAGCCACACUGGGACUGAGACACGGCCCAGACUCCUACGGGAGGCAGCAGUGGGGAAUUUUGGACAAUGGGCGCAAGCCUGAUCCAGCCAUGCCGCGUGCGGGAAGAAGGCCUUCGGGUUGUAAACCGCUUUUGUCAGGGAAGAAACGCUCCGGGCCAAUACCCUGGGGUAAUGACGGUACCUGAAGAAUAAGCACCGGCUAACUACGUGCCAGCAGCCGCGGUAAUACGUAGGGUGCAAGCGUUAAUCGGAAUUACUGGGCGUAAAGCGUGCGCAGGCGGUCUUGCAAGACAGAUGUGAAAUCCCCGGGCUCAACCUGGGAACUGCAUUUGUGACUGCAAGGCUGGAGUGCGGCAGAGGGGGAUGGAAUUCCGCGUGUAGCAGUGAAAUGCGUAGAUAUGCGGAGGAACACCGAUGGCGAAGCAAUCCCCUGGGCCUGCACUGACGCUCAUGCACGAAAGCGUGGGGAGCAAACAGGAUUAGAUACCCUGUAGUCCACGCCCUAAACGAUGUCAACUGGUUGUUGGACGGCUUGCUGUUCAGUAACGAAGCUAACGCGUGAAGUUGACCGCCUGGGGAGUACGGCCGCAAGGUUGA